This 63-nucleotide microRNA precursor is filed under the name Triops cancriformis. RNAcentral describes it as "microRNA tcf-mir-10336 precursor". Lineage: Eukaryota; Metazoa; Arthropoda; Branchiopoda; Notostraca; Triopsidae. The record is from miRBase by way of RNAcentral.
AACCAGGCUGAGGUCUUGACGAGAAUUUCAAUGAGAUUCUUGUACUUUGGCCUGGAAACAAAU